CGAUGACGGAGAGCUUGCUCUUCUGAUUAGUGGCGAACGGGUGAGUAACACGUGAGCAAUCUGCCCUUGACUCUGGGAUAAGCGUUGGAAACGACGUCUAAUACCGGAUACGACCCUUGGAGGCAUCUCUGGGGGUGGAAAGAAUUUUGGUCAGGGAUGAGCUCGCGGCCUAUCAGCUAGUUGGUGAGGUAAUGGCUCACCAAGGCGACGACGGGUAGCCGGCCUGAGAGGGUGACCGGCCACACUGGGACUGAGACACGGCCCAGACUCCUACGGGAGGCAGCAGUGGGGAAUAUUGCACAAUGGGCGAAAGCCUGAUGCAGCAACGCCGCGUGAGGGACGACGGCCUUCGGGUUGUAAACCUCUUUUAGUAGGGAAGAAGCGAAAGUGACGGUACCUGCAGAAAAAGCACCGGCUAACUACGUGCCAGCAGCCGCGGUAAUACGUAGGGUGCAAGCGUUGUCCGGAAUUAUUGGGCGUAAAGAGCUCGUAGGCGGUUUGUCGCGUCUGCUGUGAAAACCCGAGGCUCAACCUCGGGCCUGCAGUGGGUACGGGCAGACUAGAGUGCGGUAGGGGAGAUUGGAAUUCCUGGUGUAGCGGUGGAAUGCGCAGAUAUCAGGAGGAACACCAAUGGCGAAGGCAGAUCUCUGGGCCGUAACUGACGCUGAG
RNAcentral lists this ribosomal RNA (669 nucleotides) under Cryobacterium sp. Its description in RNAcentral is "bacterial SSU rRNA". It matches the Rfam family "Bacterial small subunit ribosomal RNA", at positions 67 to 750 of the family's 1533-position model. Lineage: Bacteria; Bacillati; Actinomycetota; Actinomycetes; Micrococcales; Microbacteriaceae. The record is from RNAcentral.